CUUCCCCUUCCCCUUCCCCUUCGCGGGGCACGGAGCCGGGGGCGAUGCUCGCGGGCGGGCGGCCCUUCAGGGAAGCGCACCCAACUCCGCGGGCUGAGCCGAAAGCCACGUGCGGGGCUGCGGAAGAGCAGCUGAUGCCCAGGAGCAGCAGGGCCUGGCUGCACGGGGGCACGGCCCUAGUAGCAGAGGACGUUACAUGUGCUGCGCGUCCUUGCUCCCUCAGGCCCUACUUGGCUUAAGGCAGCAGUUUCCAUACUGUGGAUCACGACCCUAAAGAGGGUUGCAACAUCAGCAGCUAGGGUUGUGAGAUUUCUGCGCCCACAGCGAGCACAGGGUUGCAACGGGGCUGGACCAGUUCUGGGCAGAAGCCACCUCCACAGCCCAGCAAGAAGGACCCCGCACAGGAGGGAGCACUGCCCUGUCAUAGACCCUAAAGGGCAUUCUUAUUGCUCUAGGUUCUGUCUCGGGGAGAUGCAUUCCCAUCCCCAACUUUUUCAAACACGAGUGAGAGUGGAUCAGAAACCUGUGAGGUGAACAAAGAGCCAAGUUAGAAGGAAAAGGUCAGCAGCACAAACACAUCAUAUUGCAACAAAACAACCCAGCCCCACCAACUGCCGUGCUCUUUUAGAAGCUUCUCCCCUGUCAUGCUCCUGUGUCGAGUCUAAGCUACAAGCCAAAGGGAACUCUACGCACACCACUACAGGCAGAAUUUGAGGCACUGGUUGAUGAACAGGGACACCAGUUACAUCCUGGCUGCAGUCUCGGCUCCAACAAGAAUCUGACAGUAACACCCGUACCCUAGGACUGUGGAGAGAAGGUUGUGCAAGGAGGGGUAGUAGGAGUGCUGUGUGGGGGGCAGCGUGAAUUGGUCAAAAAUAAAUUGGAGUCCAAGGCCAGAGUCUAAGGCCUCCCAUGUGACAGCUAAGAAUCUGCCUAAUCAAGUCAACUCUUCCUUUGUUCAUUCCUGUGCCCUGACAACCUCAGUCCUUUUGAGAAGAGGAAGAACUGACAGCACCAGAAAUAGCCACAAUGGCCUGGAUGGAGCUGGUGAAAGAAACAGCUCUGGCUCCUAAAGCCCAGAAAGCCCUGGUAUGCCAGGAUGCAAAGAGAAAAGCCAGCUCUGGGGACAGGGUUCCCUGUUAGCAGGUGUUGACACCUGAAGCCCAGCAGUGCCAUCCAUUCACCUGGCCUCUGAGCAGCAAUUGAAACCUCUGACCAAUGGCAGCUCCUUGGCAGCCUGGCUGCCCCUCUGCCACAUAAGACAGCAGAGGGACGGAGGAGGCCCCCCAUCAAUAGUCUGAUAUCCAAACCAGGUAGGUCCCAUGAAUUUAAAUCAGGAACAUAAAGUUUGGGCAGACCUUCCAUUCCUGGGGAUGCAGAGGGCAGAUGAGCUAGCUGUGGGCCAAAUCCUGGAUGGGUCCUGGUUCACAUGGAACCAGACAUCAUAGGAUACAGCUCAUGGCAUGAUCAGAGUGUUUAUGCUGAAGCACAGACAGCUUCAGCACAGACCAUAACAUGAGAUGUAGAUGGAAAGAGGUGGGUUAGGAGUCACAGGUGACUUCACAACCUCCUCCAGGGGACCACUAAAUACCAGUUUAGAUGGCUUAAGAUUCUUCCUGAGGUAAGAGGGAACAAGAGAAAGGAGUAGGCAGCCCUGCAGGGCAGGAGAAGAGUUUUGUCUAUACAGGAAAAUGGGCCAAAUAGCUUGGCAGACCAGCUCUUGUGUAGUCAUUACUCUGCACUAGCUCCCUAAAUGGGCAUUCUCAUUCUACAUUAAAAGUGAUUUUGCUUAAUCCACUCCCAAAGUGAACUGAACUAAUCUGCACAGAGGCACACUUGUGGAAUCAGAGUGUCCACAGGGGGAUGGAGUCCAGAAGACCUUCUGCCCUAUAAAAUUCAUAUCCUGGCUGAUUUUGCAAUAGGUACCCUGAAUGGCCAGUUCGGGAAAACAUUUAAGCUGAAAAUCUCUGUUUGAGAAGGCAGUCCUGCCUUGUGUCUGAGCUCCUUCAGUGAAACAGUGCAGGCACAUCUCUUUGGAUAUGGUUUUCCAUAUGCAGGAGGACUGCAAACUCUGAAGGGAGGUUCCCACUUCAUGUAUUUUUCAUUGCUCUGGUGUUGCAAGGACUUGAAAGAUCAAGCCAAGAGAAGAGGGUAGAGCAUGACAGAAGCAAUUGAGCUGGACUUGGAGAGGAGCAGCUGGCAGGCUGCCUUAAGAAAUAACUGGAAAGGAAC
Long non-coding RNA from Alligator sinensis (Chinese alligator), 2232 nucleotides. RefSeq lists it as uncharacterized. The record is from RefSeq and is a predicted model, not a curated record. The transcript is spliced from 4 exons. NCBI's taxonomy places the organism in Eukaryota, Metazoa, Chordata, Crocodylia, Alligatoridae.